This 536-nucleotide non-coding RNA is filed under the name Trichomalopsis sarcophagae. Its description in RNAcentral is "Eukaryotic small subunit ribosomal RNA". It matches the Rfam family "Eukaryotic small subunit ribosomal RNA", at positions 624 to 1113 of the family's 1831-position model. The record is from Rfam by way of RNAcentral. Lineage: Eukaryota; Metazoa; Arthropoda; Insecta; Hymenoptera; Pteromalidae.
AAGUUCUAAUUGGAUACGCGGUCGUCCUACUGACGAAAAGACUGCUCAGGUAUUAACAGUCGGUGAAACAAAGACUACAUCCAGGUCUUUAAUCGAUUCCAGUCUAGGCAGUACAACGCCGUCAAUGCAGCAGCGGUGCUCUUUACCGAGUGUCGAGGUGGGCCGGUACGUUUACUUUGAACAAAUUAGAGUGCUCAAAGCAGGCUAUGUUCGCCUGAAUACUGUGUGCAUGGAAUAAUGGAAUAGGACCUCGGUUCUAUUUUGUUGGUUUUCGGAACCCCGAGGUAAUGAUUAAUAGGGACAGAUGGGGGCAUUCGUAUUGCGACGUUAGAGGUGAAAUUCUUGGAUCGUCGCAAGACGGACAGAAGCGAAAGCAUUUGCCAAAAAUGUUUUCAUUAAUCAAGAACGAAAGUUAGAGGUUCGAAGGCGAUCAGAUACCGCCCUAGUUCUAACCAUAAACGAUGCCAGCUAGCGAUCCGCCGAAGUUCCUCCGAUGACUCGGCGGGCAGCUUCCGGGAAACCAAAGCUUUUGGGUU